UGGGGAAUAUUGGACAAUGGGGGCAACCCUGAUCCAGCCAUGCCGCGUGUGUGAAGAAGGCCUUCGGGUUGUAAAGCACUUUAAGUGGGGAGGAAGGCUCGGGGGUUAAUAACCUUCGGGAGUGACGUUACCCACAGAAUAAGCACCGGCAAACUCCGUGCCAGCAGCCGCGGUAAUACGGAGGGUGCGAGCGUUAAUCGGAAUUACUGGGCGUAAAGCGCACGUAGGUGGUUCGUUAAGUCGGAUGUGA
RNAcentral lists this ribosomal RNA (250 nucleotides) under uncultured bacterium. RNAcentral describes it as "partial 16S ribosomal RNA". It matches the Rfam family "Bacterial small subunit ribosomal RNA", at positions 355 to 597 of the family's 1533-position model. The record is from RNAcentral.